UACGUAGGCAGCGAGCGUUGUUCGGAGUUACUGGGCGUAAAGGGUGUGUAGGCGGUCCUCUAAGUUUGGUGUGAAAUCUCCCGGCUCAACUGGGAGGGUGCGCCGAAUACUGGAAGGCUAGAGUGUGGGAUGGGAGAGUGGAAUUCCCGGUGUAGCGGUGAAAUGCGCAGAUAUCAGGAAGAAUAUCCGUGGCGAAGGCGGCUCUCUGGGACGGUACUGACGCUGAGACGCGAAAGCGUGGGGAGCGAACAGG
Molecule: ribosomal RNA, 253 nt
Filed under: uncultured bacterium
Lineage: Bacteria
Description: partial 16S ribosomal RNA
Rfam family: Bacterial small subunit ribosomal RNA
Source: RNAcentral